RNAcentral lists this ribosomal RNA (242 nucleotides) under uncultured bacterium. RNAcentral describes it as "partial small subunit ribosomal RNA". It matches the Rfam family "Bacterial small subunit ribosomal RNA", at positions 26 to 285 of the family's 1533-position model. The record is from RNAcentral.
AGAAUCAACGCUGGCGGCGUGCCUAACACAUGCAAGUCGAACGAGAAAGUGGAGCAAUCCAUGAGUAAAGUGGCGCACGGGUGAGUAACACGUGACUAACCUACCCUGGAGUGGGGAUAACUGAGGGAAACCUUAGCUAAUACCGCAUAAUACCUACGGGUCAAAGGAGCAAUUCGCUCUAGGAGGGGUCGCGGCAGAUUAGCUAGUUGGCGGGUAAUGGCCCACCAAGGCAGUGAUCUGUA